CCUACGGGAGGCAGCAGUGGGGAAUAUUGCGCAAUGGGCGAAAGCCUGACGCAGCGACGCCGCGUGAGGGAUGAAGGUCUUCGGAUCGUAAACCUCUGUCAGCAGGGAAGAACGGUCACUGUGCUAAUCAGCAGUGAAUUGACGGUACCUGCAAAGGAAGCACCGGCUAACUCCGUGCCAGCAGCCGCGGUAAUACGGAGGGUGCGAGCGUUAAUCGGAAUUACUGGGCGUAAAGCGCUCGUAGGCGGUAUUGUAAGGCAAAGGUGAAAACCCCGGGCUUAACGUGGGAAUUGCCUUUGAAACUGGCAAACUGGAGUGUGUGAGAGGAUAGUGGAAUUCCAGGUGUAGGAGUGAAAUCCGUAGAUAUCUGGAGGAACAUCAGUGGCGAAGGCGACUAUCUGGCACAUAACUGACGCUGAGGAGCGAAAGCGUGGGUAGCAAACAGGAUUAGAUACCCUUGUAGUC
Molecule: ribosomal RNA, 465 nt
Filed under: uncultured bacterium
Lineage: Bacteria
Description: partial 16S ribosomal RNA
Rfam family: Bacterial small subunit ribosomal RNA
Source: RNAcentral